UAUUUAUAUAUCUUUGUUUACAUACUAUGGUUCCACCUACAUAAGAAGUAUAUAUAGGGAUCUUAGGAUCUUCUCAUGUAAAAAAUCAUGUUGAAAUUUUGUGUCUAUUUAUCUUUUCAUAAAUAUUAAAUGGACAAAACAUUCUGUGAAUAUUUAUGAAGAGUGAAAAAUAUCACAAUGCUUAACUUGAGUCUCUUGACAUUGUCAAAUGUCAUAUAACAUGAGAAGAUCACGUAUAUAAAGAGAAAUAUAGAUAGCAUUUUAAUUUGAAAGUAUCAUGUGAUAUAUACUAAUCCAAAAACAUGUAAUUAACAAGAUAAAAAUAUUGCAAAUAGUCGUUAGGUUCUAAAUUUUUCCAUUGAAUUUGAAUCAAUAAGUUCUAUAGUGGUGACACAAUAAUAAAGUAAUGACUAAAUAUAUAUGUUGUGUAACAUAUGUCAUUACAUAGAGAUCAUUCAAGCCUCAAGAACAAUAACAUAAACAUUUCCAUAUUAUUUACGAUCACCUAAAUAUUCUGUCUUGCUAUUCUUCUGUGUGAGGUCCUUGAUGCUUUUCUUGACCUUGGCCCAACCUUUCUUGCAGGCACCGGCAACCUUAACCCCACUUUUCACGAUGGCCUUCUUGGCUUUCUUCGCUGCAACCUUCGCCUUCUUUGCAGUCACCUUCACUUGCUCCUCAAAAUCUGCCAUCUAGAAUAUUGAAUUCUCAAAAUGAAUUCAAUUCAAUGGCGCCUGCAAAGGAGGGUGGUGUAUGCAGUAGUUAAUUAGCACGCACGCUGCAUCAAUGUAAUGCAGGUUUUGUUGCUUUAUUUAUAUAUGAUCAUGAAGACCUUUCCUUGACCAAAUCUUUCAGGAACAGGUAGAUUUCUAUGGUUAACCUUCAUUCCCGCUAAUGCCAAAUUUUAUUUGUUAGAUUAUGGUGCUAAUUAAGGUAAACCCCACUCAAAAUUCAAUGUCAAUGUACAUUUUGUUGAAAUUUUAAUUUUUAUUAUUAAUGACUGGUGAAAUGAAAUUACCUGAAAUUGAGGACAAAUGAAUGAGAAGUUGAGAACAAACAAAUGAAAAGAACCAAUAA
This 1074-nucleotide long non-coding RNA is filed under the name Lotus japonicus. RNAcentral's name for it is "long non-coding RNA (LJAP_LNC001114)". The record is from RNAcentral. Lineage: Eukaryota; Viridiplantae; Streptophyta; Magnoliopsida; Fabales; Fabaceae.